This 6890-nucleotide long non-coding RNA is filed under the name Homo sapiens (human). Its description in RNAcentral is "HSALNT0345314". The record is from RNAcentral. Lineage: Eukaryota; Metazoa; Chordata; Mammalia; Primates; Hominidae.
GGACCCAGGGACUGGGAGGCCGGUUGGGGCUGGGCUCAGGGGCCGAGACCUAGCUGGGCUUGGGGCGGGGCCGAGACGGAGCGAGGGGUCCAGGGUGUGGGAAACGGGGAGGGGUUUGAGGAGGGGAUCGGAAUGUGGCUCAAGUUCGGGAGGCGUUACCUGCGGAGGGUUUGAGGCAGGCCCAAGAGCGAGCCCAUGGUCUUCCGACGCGGGGCCAGGGGCGGGCCCCAGGAUCCGGAGCUUCGUGCGGGGCCGAGUCCAGGUUUGGGGCCCGGGAGGCGGGGCCAGUUAGGGCGACUGUCCCUGGGAUCGUCGGGUCAGGCCUUGGGCUAACGUAGGCACUCUCGCAGUUCCUCCGCCUUCAGGAAGGUCUUUUCAGCAGGGGCCUUACGGGUGCAUGCUUCGGUCCUGGAGGCCUUAUCCUAGCCUCCUCUCCAUCAGCGCCACCCGUCUGGGGCCCGAAAGGAGGGAGCUUUCCCUCUGUCCCCCAGCCUUUGGACUGUCACCAAACAAGCCAUUCGUUCAUCAAAUACUUUUUAAGCGCCUACCAUGUGCCUGACAAGGGAGAUGUAACGGUGAGAAAAACUAGGUGUGGUCCAGGCCCUUCAGGGGCUCAGGUGCUCGUGGAAGAAGUGGACAUUGAAGUACUUAUCACACAAAUGAGGAUAAAAGUACGAUAGCGAUAUCUACCACGAAGCUGUUGUUCCCCACCAGAACCAAAUGAGCGCAAGAUCUGACAAAGAAAAAAAAAGGUUCAUCUUUUAUUCCUCCAAACACUUUCAUUUAAAUCAAGAGGAUGGGAUGUGGUUAUUGCUGUGUUUUUAGACAGAAUCAACGGUUUCUGGGUCUGAGAUGUUGCAUACACCUUCUCAGUCCCUGUAUCCUGAGAUGGAGUCACCUGAGAAUCCACAGCAAGUCCUAACCAGGGAUGGGUCUGGGUGAUUAAGGAAGGUUGGCUUCAGAACUGGGCCAGGGGCACUGCUUUGCUUUUGCUGUUUUGAUCAGCUCUCUGCCUGAAGGAGACAAGAAAAACCAACGGGAACAGCCCAGUAAAGGCGCCAUUCCCCAUUUUACAGCUGGGGAAACUGAGUUACAGAGCUUGUCUGCACUGAGUCAUCAGGAGCAAAUGCUAGAUCAGAUAGGGUCUCUCUCUCUGCCACCCAGGCCAGAGUGCAGUUGACGCAGGGCAGGGGAGCCCCGAAGUGGAGCAUAGUGUGUCCGGAACUGGUGGGUUCUUGGUCUCACUGACUUCAAGAAAGAAGCCGCGGACCCUCGCGAAUGAUGGCAGCAGCCCAUAUGGGUGGCCCGCCCAUGAUGCCAAAGAUGGGCCCUCCUCCUCCUGGGAUGAUGCCAGUGGGACCUGCUCUUGGAAUGAGGCCGCCCAUGGGAGGCCACAUGCCUGUGAUGCCUGGGUGCCCAAUGAUAAGACCUCCUGCCCGUCUCAUGAUGGUGCCCAGUCAGCCCAGAAUGACUUGACCAGACAGAUAAGGAUAGAGGGGAGGCCUCAUUGCAUCAGUGUUGUUUUGUUGUUGUUAUUGUUGUGUUUUUUUUGUUUGUAAUGUUUUGUUUUGUUUUUGAGACAGAGUCUUCCUCUGUCGCCUAGGCUGGAGGGCAGUGGCAUGAUCUCAGCUCACUGAAACCUCCACCUCCCGGGUUCAAGCGAUUCCCCUGCCUCAGCCUCCUGAGUAGUGUGGGACUACAGGCGUAUUCACCAUGCCCGGCUAAUUUUUUUUAUUUUAGUAGAAACGGGGUUUCACCAUGUUGGCCAGGAUGGUCUCAAUCUCCUGACCUCGUGACUCGCUCGCCUCAGCCUCUGAAAGUGCUGGGAUUACAGGUGUGAGCCACUGCGCCUGGCCUAUAUGAAUUUUAUAUUUACCUGCUCCCUUCACCAGGAGAUCAUGCUGCUGUGAUGUCGAGUUUUCUUAACAGCAUAAGGAAGACUUGCCCUCUUGCCCUAUCAAAGAGAAUAGUUUUGGAGGGGAGAAGUGGGACCAAAAAAGAUGCAGUUUUCAUUUGUAUUGGGAAAUGUGAAAAUAAAAUUGACAACUCUUUUAGUUAAAAACAAAAAAAAGAAAAGGAAACAAGAUGUGGGGCUGCCAUAUGUAAUACCGUGGAUUCCACGGAUCUUCUACUCUGGAGGCAAAUAUUAUCUUUGCUGAAGCCAGACCAACCUGACACAAAGACCUUUUGUUUUUUUAAUGUGACUGUGUUUUAUUUUAGAAUGUGUAAUUCACUUUAGAAGGGCAAAGUACCUGUCUGGGGAAGACUAUUUAAUUUCCUGCAUUUAUUUAGAAUGUUGGCUGAUGUUAUUAUGAAGGGAAACAGCUCUAACAACUGAGUGCCCCCCACAUAGCCACAGCUCAUGAGUUCACGGGGCAAAGGAAAUGAACAGCAGCCUCCUAAUAGCCAGCCUUCUUUGUGAUGUGGAAAUAAUUAUCAGCAUGUAAAAGACUAUAUAUAUAUUCAACAAUUCUGAUCCCCUGAAAAAUUCAAAUCUACAACUGAUUUGCUUCCUGGGCUCCUGAAAACAACUUUGUCAAAAUUGUUCAGAAAUAUAAUCAGCCAAUCGUUGCCCCUUGGGGACGCAGGAUAAAGCAAGUCAGCCAUGACCAAUGAGGAGUCGGCCGUGCACAAUUACAUGCAGACCUGCAGGACAUCGAGUCCCUGCUAUGGUCCCUCCCCAGUCAGACCCCCAUUGCCUGGGCUGCAGCCAGAAGCAUUCAGGCACAAGUGCAUUCAACAAAUACUUAUUUAAUUGUAUUGGUGGUUAGAGGGUUGCGAUUGAUUAAGGCACAUUAAUGGAUCCGUGUCCUCCCUGUAUCCAAGAUUCUGCCAUUUGUCUCUGCAGUUCCUCCCACUGAAGAAUCGGAGUAUAUUUCUCCAGUCCCUAAUGUUGGGUUUAGUCAUGUGUCUAGCUUUGGCCACUGGAAUAUUAAUCUGUAUGACCAAAAACUUGGAAAGUGUGAAUUCAUUUCUGCUCACUCACUCCUGCUAUCACCAUGAGAACAAGCCCAGGCCAGACUGCUGCUUCCAGCAGAAGAGACAGCAAGAGCAACGUCGAGCUUCCCAGACAUGCUCAUGCUAGAUUGACCAAUCCUCAGCUGACCCAUAGAUCCAUGAAAAUAAACGAUUGUUGUAUUAAGCCACUGAGAUUUGGAGUGACUUGUUAUGCAGCAUUUUGUGACAACAACUAACUGACACAAGAGUCACCGUCCUUUAUCUCUGUAGAUUUUAACCAAUUUUAAUAGCUAGAUGGAGAUCUUCUAGUUGCCUUUAUUUAUAAUGAAUAUGACUGUAGAGCUAGUUUGGCCUGACACUACCAGUAACCUACCCAGAAAUUCAGAAAUACUUUCUUCUCCAACCCGCCCAAACCAACUUUUUGUUUGUUUGUUUUUGGGUUCUCCCUCUUUGCCUAGGCUAGAGUACAAAUGGUACAGUCAGAGCUCACUGUAGCCUCAAAAUACUGGGCUCAAGUGAUCUUCCCCUUCAGCCUCCUAUGUAGCUAAGACUACAGACAUGUGCCACCAUGCCUGGCUAAUUUUUUUAUUCUUUGCAGACAGAGGGUCUCACUAUAUUGCCCAAGUUGGUUUCAAACUCCUGGCUUCAAGCAGUCCUCCUGCCUCACCCUUCCAAAGUGCUAGGAUUAUAGGCAUGAGCCACCACACCCAGCCUCUUCUUCUUUUUAAAUAGAAACCUUAUUUUAUUCUGACAGUGGGUUGCUUUUUUUUUUUUUUUUUAAAGAAAAAGUUGGCCCAGCCCCAGGGAAUAAAUUUUGACUGCUCUAAACAACCAUAGACCAAGGGCCAAAUCUGGCCCUCUGACUGUAUAAAUUAAGUUUUACUGGAAUAAAACCAGGUCCAUUGAUUUAUCCAUUGUCUACAUACGCUUUUAGGCUACGAUGGCACCACUGUGUCACUACAAAAGAGGUUAUCUAGACAAAAAGCCUAAAAUAUUACCGUUUGCCUCUUUAUGGAAAAAGUUUGCCAUUCCCUAGUCUAAGGUUUAGAUUCUGAGCUUAUCAUGUUAUCCUACCCCCCCUCACCAGUGACUGGCUCAAAACAAGUCUGUGAUUCCAUUCUGACUGUUCUACUGAGGGAAUUCCGCCUUCUUCUCAUGCAGAGCUGAUGAGGGUAAGUUGUAUUAAUAGGACAUAUGCUCAGGUUUUCUGAAAAAUACUUUUAUCUAGAAAUGCAUAGGAAUAUGCUGGUGCCUGAAUGUACCAUCCGGGGACCUGGAGAUUGACUCACCUGCCUCCAGAGCUGGUGCUCACACUUACUACUGAGAGGCCUGAGGAAACGCCUGCCUACCCACCACCAGAACCUGUAUAGGUCACCUGGAGAACUAGAGAUCAGCCUGCCACACACACCACCCAGGAGCCCAGUGGUGCACCUGCCCAUCUGGCCCACUGCCAGCAACCAAAGAAGCCACCUGGAGUCCCAGGGAUUGGCCCACACAGACAGGCUAUCAUCAGUGCCCACAAACGCUGCCCAUGGUCCCUAGUAUUGACACACCUGGUCCACCGCCACUACCACUGAUGCUGAAGGACAAGACUUCCUGGCAUCCCCAUCCUCAGCAAAGCCUCACCAAAGCCUCCAAUAACAACUGCAGUCUGGCCAAGUGUGGUGGCUCACGCCUGUAAUCCCAGCACUUUGAGAUGCCGAGGCGUGUAGAUCACGAGGUCAGGAGUUCGAGAGCAGCCUGGCCAACAUGGUGAAACCCCGUCUCUACUAAAAAUACAAAAUUUAGCUGGGCAUGGUUGCACGUGCCUAUAGUCCCAGCUACUCAGGAGGCUGAGGCAGGAGAAUUGGUUGAACACGGGAGGCAGAGGAUACAGUGAGCUGAGAUUGUGCCACUGCACUCCAGCCUGGUGACAGAGCUAGACUCCAUCUCAACAACCACCAAAAAAAACCACUGCAGUCUAAGCCACUGAAUGACUCACAGGCACCACCCAUGCCAAUUACAGCUGAAGGAAUCAUAUGCAAACUAUACUACUGUACCCACCCAGAAUCAAAGCCAAAGUGUGAUAUCCAAUGAACACUGUAGAUACAGCUGUAAGAAAAGGUCUUUCCCAUAUAAAAGCCAAUCCAUAAAAUUGGAAGAAAUGACUGUUAUGUCAGAGGCACAGAUAGUCACAUAAGGAUGCAAGAAAUAUGAAAAAGGAAACAUAACAUCUCAAAGAAGCACAAUAAUUCUCCAGCAACAGAUCCAAUGAAAAGAAAAUCUAUGAAAUACCUGAAAAAAAUUCAGAAUGAUGUUAUUAAAGAAACUCAGGGAGAUACAAGAGAACACAGAUAAUGAAUACAAAAAAAAAAAACAAAAACAGGAAAACUAUUCAUGAUCUGAAUGACAAAUUCAACAGAGAUAGACAGCAUAACAAAGAACCAAACACAAAUCCUGGAAGAGAAUAAAUCAUUGAAAUAAAUACAAAAGAUAAUUGACAGCUUUAACAAUAGACUAGAUCAAGCAAAACAAAGAAUUUCUGAACCUGAAGACUAGUCUUUUAAAAUAAUCCAGUCAGACAAAAAGAAAGAAAAAAGAAUGAAGCAAGGCUACAUGACAUAUGGGACACAUAUGUGACCAAAAACUGAAAUUCUGGGAGUUCUGGAUGGAGAUGAGAUGGGUAAAGGCAUAGAAAACCUAUUUAAUGAACUAAUAACUGAAAACUUCCUGAAUGCUUCCAAAUGCAGGAAGCUCAAAGAUUACCAAGUAAAUACAACUCAAAAUGGUCUUCUCCAAGGCACAAUAUGGUAAAAUUGUCAAAAGACAAAGAGAAAAUGCUAAAAACAGCAAGAGAAAGGCAUCAAGUCACUUAUAAGAGAAUCUCCAUCAGGCUAACGGGGAAUUUCUCAGCAGAAACCUUACUGGCUAGGAGAAAAGGGGAUGUAUAUUACAAGUACAAAAAAAAAAAAUAAUAAAAAAAUGUAAGCCAAAAAUACUCUACCCAGCAAAGCUAUCCUUCACAAAUGAAGGAGCCUGGCACAGUGGCUCACAUCUGCAAUUCCAGAGACUCAAGGCUGAGGCAGGAGGACCAUUUGAUCCCAGGAGUUCAAGGCUGCAGUGAGCUAUGAUCAUGCCACUGUACUCCAGCCUGGGUGACAGAGUGAGACUCCAUUGCUAAAAAAAAAAAUAGUAAUAAUAAAAGGGAAAAAAGUAUUUCCCAGAUAAGCAAAAGACUGUUUGUUUGUGUCUUGUUUGUUGUGGUCCUAUAAGAAAUGUUUAAGGGAGUCCUACAUUGGGAAGUGAAAGAACAAUAUCUACCAUCAUGAAAAUACAUGAAAGUAUAAAACUCACUGGUAGUUCAGACACACAAAGAAGAAAGGAUUCAAACAUCACCACUAAAGAAAACCACCAAACUGCAACCAUAAAUAAUGAGAGAAAAAAGGAACAAAGGUGUAUUAGUCUGUUUUCACACUGCUGAUAAAGACAUACCUGACUGAGACUGAGCAAUUUACAAAAGAAAGAGGUUUAAUGGACUUACACUUCCACAUAGCUGAGGAAGCCUAAGAAUCACGUUGGAAGGCAAGAAGAAGCAAGUCAUGUCUCACAUGGAUGGCAGCAAUCAAAGAUAGAGCUUCUGCAGAGAAACUACCCUUUUCAAAACCAUCAGACCUUGUGAGACUUAUUCACUAUCAUGAGAACAGCAUGGGAAAGACCUGCCCCCAUGACUCAAUUACUUCCCACCAGGUCCCUCCCACAACAUGUGGGAAUUCAAGAUGAGACUUGGGUGGGGACACAACCAAACCAUAUCAUUCUGCCCCUGGCCCUUCCCAAAUCUCAUAUCCUCACAUUUUGAAACCAAUCAUGCCUUCCCAACAGUCCCCCAAAGUCUUAACUAAGUUCAGCAUUAACUCAAAAGUCCACAGUCCAAAGUCUCAUUUGAGACAAGGCAA